GGCGAAAUAGCCAAGUGGUAAAAGGCAACAGACCGCAAAUCUGUGACCACCAGUUCAAAUCUGGCUUUCGCCU
RNAcentral lists this transfer RNA (73 nucleotides) under Caudoviricetes sp. RNAcentral's name for it is "tRNA-Cys". It matches the Rfam family "tRNA". From Rfam's summary of the family: Transfer RNA (tRNA) molecules are approximately 80 nucleotides in length. Their secondary structure includes four short double-helical elements and three loops (D, anti-codon, and T loops). The record is from RNAcentral. Lineage: Duplodnaviria; Heunggongvirae; Uroviricota; Caudoviricetes.